UCCUCCUCGUCUAACGUACAUUUCAGGCCGCCAUUUUCUUCGUGCCGAAGGACAGCGAAUCAGCCAAAGAAUCACCUGAUGAAGACAUGUCUGGAGGACCAACUGUCAGACGAGAGUCUGAGUUCGUUCCGCAGACGACCCCGACUGAAGAUGAGUGCAAAGAAGCAAUCUCACUGAUGAAACAUUCAGCUGAUGAGGAGACUGUCAAGAAGAAAAUGAAACUGACGUUUGUCUAUCGCCGCAACAUGGUCCUUGACUCCCAGCAGUCGCGCAACAUACUGUCCGACUUUUCACGUUUUAAAGACGUCAACGGCUUGCCCAGGAUUUCGUUUUGAUGUUUGGAGAGGAUACCUCAAGCAAGCUUCUGGAGAGGUGGCCAGUCAUGUUCAAGAAGAAGAUUAUCCAACAAUGCAGAAAGCUUCUAUCCACAAGUGAGCUUGAAGAACUCUUGCUGGCAGCUGAUCCUCCUGUGGAUGGCACUGAUGUUGAUGUUGACUUUGGGUCGGAAGAGACCAGGAAAGGUUUCGGCAUCCCAAGCAGAGAAGCAUCUUGUGGUCUUCAAGAAGACUAGAACAAACAUUCAAGAGCAUCUCGAUGCCAUCACCACCAGAGCUCAACCCUAUCUCCUGGCUGUUGGAGUUGAGAAGAAUGCAAUCCACCAGUUCUUCAUCAUUCUUGACAAGAAUGCCAUACCUUGCAGGUCAACCUCUUCUGCUUUGAUAAACUGUUAAAGGCUCAUUUUGUGUUUGGCACAUCCUACAACAGCAUGCUCCACAACAUGUACACUUUCAUCCAAACCACAGUGUACAACAUUGAUGUCAGCAAGGUCAAGGAAAGCCCUUGUGUCUCUGAAGUUAGGGCGAGGUUGCUUCAUUAGUGCUCCUCUAUCAUGCAGUGUUUUGUUUGUCAGGCUGAGUUAUCAAAUUCAAAUGUGCUUGUUAGGCAUUUACGAUUAGUUCAUGGUUACUUACCUGGAAAAAAUCUCAGGCUUAAAUGUGCCCAGACUGGAUGUGGAUGUGUGUUUGGUACGUUUUCUGGUUUUAGGAAACAUUUAAACACCAAACACACUGAGUAUAUUGACCAGGACGUUGACACCGAUGUUAAUUUGAGCAGCACAGGAGAGGUGGUGACAGCUAAUGUAGAUGAGACAGCCACAACAUCGCUGACAGCUAACAAAGAUGAGGUAGCCACAAC
Molecule: long non-coding RNA, 1194 nt
Organism: Mugil cephalus (flathead mullet)
Lineage: Eukaryota; Metazoa; Chordata; Actinopteri; Mugiliformes; Mugilidae
Exons: 5
Source: RefSeq, a predicted model, not a curated record